AAACCGUUGAAAGGGAAGCGAAUGGAGUUAGCAAUUCGCCCUGUCAGACUCAGCCGCUCGCGAGCAGCGACGUGCGCGUUCUCGAUCCCUAUAGACGAGACGCGUGCGGGUGCAACUUGCGGACGGCGCACUUCUGGCGGGCGAGCGUCAGCGUCGGUUGUCGACGGGCGAGAAGGUCGCGAGGAAGGUGGACCGGCCUAACGGCCGGUUGUUAAAGCCUCGCGCUCGCACGGCCCGACGGCGACCGUGGCUUGUGAAGGCGACGCGUGCCUGGCUGGCGACUCGCUCGAUCGGUCCGGCAUGUCGACCGUGGCGGACGGCACGCCUGUGCGCUCGAAAUGCUGCCGGUCGAUCGGACGAUGUUCGCACACUACGCGUCGAAGGUGCUGACGACCAUACGGCUCCAUCCGACCCGUCUUGAAACACGGACCAAGGAGUCUAACAUGUGCGCAAGUCUCCGGGCGAAAGAAACCCGUGGGCGCAAUGAAAGUGAAGAUCGUCCCAGACGAUUGAGGUGAGAAGCCGGCGCCUUGUGCUCUGGCCGCAUCAUCGACCGACCUGUUCUGCUCUCAGAAAGGUUUGAGUAAGAGCGUAUCUGUUGGGACCCGAAAGAUGGUGAACUAUGCCUGAAUAGGGUGAAGCCAGCGGAAACACUG
RNAcentral lists this ribosomal RNA (656 nucleotides) under Melithaea sp. RMNH Coel 41148. RNAcentral describes it as "partial 28S ribosomal RNA". It matches the Rfam family "Eukaryotic large subunit ribosomal RNA", at positions 402 to 866 of the family's 3401-position model. The record is from RNAcentral. Lineage: Eukaryota; Metazoa; Cnidaria; Anthozoa; Malacalcyonacea; Melithaeidae.